GUUCCCGUAGCCCAACCGGAUAGAGCAGCCGCCUUCUAAGCGGCAGGUUACAGGUUCGAGUCCUGUCGGGAACG
This 74-nucleotide transfer RNA is filed under the name Caulobacteraceae bacterium. RNAcentral's name for it is "tRNA-Arg". It matches the Rfam family "tRNA". Rfam says of the family: Transfer RNA (tRNA) molecules are approximately 80 nucleotides in length. The record is from RNAcentral. Lineage: Bacteria; Pseudomonadati; Pseudomonadota; Alphaproteobacteria; Caulobacterales; Caulobacteraceae.